UACGAGGGGGGCAAGCGUUGUUCGGAAUUAUUGGGCGUAAAGGGUGCGUAGGCGGUCUGACAAGUCUGAUGUGAAAUCUAUGGGCUCAACCCAUAGUCUGCAUCGGAAACUGUCGGGCUUGAGUAUGGGAGAGGUGAGUGGAAUUUCCGGUGUAGCGGUGAAAUGCGUAGAUAUCGGAAAGAACACCAACGGCGAAAGCACUCUGCUGGGCCGACACUGACACUGAGAGACGAAAGCUAGGGGAGCGAAUGGG
This 253-nucleotide ribosomal RNA is filed under the name uncultured bacterium. RNAcentral's name for it is "partial 16S ribosomal RNA". It matches the Rfam family "Bacterial small subunit ribosomal RNA", at positions 524 to 776 of the family's 1533-position model. The record is from RNAcentral.